CCUGUUCUGUUGAGGAUAGACCUGUCCUGGCACCGGAUAGGAUGUUCUUUGAGUACAGG
Molecule: microRNA precursor, 59 nt
Filed under: Cordylochernes scorpioides
Lineage: Eukaryota; Metazoa; Arthropoda; Arachnida; Pseudoscorpiones; Chernetidae
Source: RNAcentral